GGGGGUGCCCUGGUUUCGACGGGGAUUGGAAGCGAAGGUGGCAUGCCGGGGACGCCAGUGGGCCUCGUUAAAAAACUGGCACUAAUACAAACGCCGACACUGACGUUCGUUACGCACUGGCAGCUUAAUUGCUGCCACGUCUCUCCUCUCAUCGCCCGCGUGGGUUCAGAGACGUCAAUUUAGCUGGCUAGUCUUGGUGAGGGUCUGUGGCGCCAAGACGAAAUUAAAGCAGAAUCGCUCGUUGCAUAUCCUGUCUGUGGGAGCUGUCCCGAGUUAAAUUCAAUACAUAGACUAAGCAUGUAGAAGCCUUGCGUGAAAGAUUUUCGGACGCGGGUUCGAUUCCCGCCACCUCCACCA
This 357-nucleotide transfer-messenger RNA is filed under the name Desulfuromonadaceae bacterium GWC2_58_13. It matches the Rfam family "transfer-messenger RNA". From Rfam's summary of the family: Bacterial tmRNA, also known as 10Sa RNA or SsrA, is named for its dual tRNA and mRNA-like properties. Lineage: Bacteria; Pseudomonadati; Thermodesulfobacteriota; Desulfuromonadia; Desulfuromonadales; Desulfuromonadaceae. RNAcentral also lists the same sequence under 1 other name. The record is from RNAcentral.